CUGGGCGUAAGCGCACGCAGGCGGUGUGUUAAGUCAGAUGUGAAAUCCCCCCUCUGGAGGCUGGGAACUGCAUUUGAAACUGGCAAGCUAGACUCUUGUAGAGGGGGGUAGAAUUCCAGGUGUAGCGGUGAAAUGCGUAGAGAUCUGGAGGAAUACCGGUGGCGAAGGCGGCCCCCUGGACAAAGACUGACGCUCAGGUGCGAAAGCGUGGGGAGCAAACAGGAUUAGAUACCCUGGUAGUCC
This 243-nucleotide ribosomal RNA is filed under the name uncultured Yersinia sp. RNAcentral's name for it is "partial 16S ribosomal RNA". It matches the Rfam family "Bacterial small subunit ribosomal RNA", at positions 554 to 796 of the family's 1533-position model. The record is from RNAcentral. Lineage: Bacteria; Pseudomonadati; Pseudomonadota; Gammaproteobacteria; Enterobacterales; Yersiniaceae.